Molecule: transfer RNA, 59 nt
Organism: Apaloderma vittatum (bar-tailed trogon)
Lineage: Eukaryota; Metazoa; Chordata; Aves; Trogoniformes; Trogonidae
Rfam family: tRNA
About the family: Transfer RNA (tRNA) molecules are approximately 80 nucleotides in length. Their secondary structure includes four short double-helical elements and three loops (D, anti-codon, and T loops).
Source: Rfam
UAGCUCACUCGGUUAGAGCAUGGUGCUGAUAACACCAAGGUCGCAGGUUCGAUCCCUGU